CACAGGGUGGAACUCAAGAUUCAUGCGUGAUGAUUUUAGUAAAAAAAUUGGCAAGGAAGGCCAGGCACUGAGGUUGGUGCCCUGCCCUCCUUUGCCCCCCCAGCCCCUGUGAAUGCUCUUUAUACUGUUUUUCAUAGAAACUAAACUAUCUACUUCUCCUUUCUUCCCAACACUGACCUUUACAAAACAGUGUUGUGGAGAACAUGGAACACUAAAACUUGCCUUAACAUCAAAUAUCAAUUCCUGACUCCAAAAUACAUUCUGUAUGUAUUGAAGAGGUAAAUAUUCAAGUUUUCAAAGAGAAAUGUAAGCUAGUGUUUUAUAUUUGAAAUAGGUGGAUUUUCUAGGCUUUGAUGCAAAGGGAAUAAUUAAAUAUAAAAAUGAUAUCUUUCUAUAUAGAGAACAAAUAGAAAUCAUGUUGACAACAUUUUGGUGUGGCUAUUAACUUAUGCACAUCAGAGAACUCUGCUAAUGAUUGUUAGCCAUUGGCAAACAAUGCACCAUAAAGACAUUCAUAUACUUUGACCCUGUCAUAUAACUUUGGGGAUUUUAUUGUAAAGUAAUAAUUCAACAGAAAUAAAUCUCAAAUCAACAACAGUGUUUUAAGAUUUUUCUUUUUUUAAAAAAAUUUGCAGUCAUCUAUUGUUUAAUUAGCAGAAGAACAGUAGGGGAAUAGCAGAAAGGUCCAGUUCUCCUACAGUAUAUAGAUAUGUAUAAAAGCCAUUCGACCUCUGAGUUCCCACCUACAUAUUUGCAAAAUCAGCCUCAGAAAGUCUCCCUCUUCAAAUAAAAGGUUAAACUUGUAUAUUAUAAGGCCCUUUCCAGACUUGGCUGCAAGUUACACAGUUCUACUUUAUUUUUUUAAUUUUUUUUAUUUGAAUUAGAAACCAGAUUGUUUUACAUGUCAAUUCCAGUUCCCUCUCCCUCCCAUCCUUCCCUGCCCCUACAACUAACACCCUACCUAUCUCAUACCCUUUCUGCUCCCAAGGGAGGUUGAGUCCUUCCAUAGGGUUUUUCUUAAUACUAUAUAAACAUAUGAAAUAAUAAAAACUAUCAAAAUAUUCAGCAAUAAAAAUAGCUUAUUAAUUAUGUAACAGCAGCAAGAGGUAAUUUAAUGAGCCAUUAAAAUUAUAGUAUAUGGCUACAGAACCACAUGGAAACACAAUGUGUAAUCACCACAUGACAAUAUUUCUCUGGUUAUUUGAUGGCUGUUCUGUAGAAUGUGUAUGAUGACUACAUACCUAGGUGGCUAUGAAAGAUGGGCAAAAAUAAAAGAGAGGGAACACACUGAUAUUCUUCAUGGUUGAAGAAAGGAAACCAAAUGCACCCAAGAGGACUCAGAUGCUGCAGGCAAUUUAUGAAGCAAGAGCAAGACAACCAGUAUUUUCCUCUCACUCUGCAGUGGGGGAUCUAAAACAAAAAACAAACUCUUUGUGUUCUACCUGAUUCCUUCCCUUUAAGAAGAAAGAUCAUGGCUGGGACAGGUGAUAGCCAUGUCUUGUCCUGAAACCUGCCUAAGAAGACAUCUAGAUGAAGAAACAAGAUAUAGAAGAAAGGACACACAUACAGAAAAGCUGGGGGUAGAUACAUUGUACACACUUGGAUGGAAGACACCUACUACAACAACCCCCAAACUCAGCAAGUUUAUUAUAUACAGCCUGAGGAGGAGGACUGCCUUUUCUUAAUGGAAGUCUUUAUAUUUGCAGAAGUCUUAGUCUGUAAACAUCAGGGAGGAGGAACCUAAGGUGGAUGUUUUCUGUAUAUACAUGUAAACAUUUUUAAACCAGGGGAAAGGCUUUGUCAUUUCCCGGAGCCUGACCCAGGUAAGGCAUUGCCAUUUCCACGGGUCUGGGCUAUUAGCAUCCUUGACAUGGCCAUGCUCAUGUCAACAACACAUAUUCACUCUGGACUUUACUCUCUCCCUACAUAAUAUACUCAGGAAGAAACUUGGGCAAACAAGCUGCUUGUUGAAACCCAAGCAUCAUACACCAAACACAGAAGUUAAGGAAAUGCCAGCUGUCUCUAGUUACUGUCCUAUCCUGAUAGUUUUAAAAGCAUUUGAUGAGUGAGAAAAUAGUUCACGAAACAGAACAUCCACUCCAGUCUUCAAUCCAGCUCAUGUAUAAACUGUUACUUUAAGCCUAAUCUCACCUUUGAAGGAGCUCACCUUCAGGGCAGGCCUACCCAGGGACCCUCCUGUGCUUCCUCAUGCUAUUUCUUAUAGUCAGUGCUGAUACAUUGCACCUCAGUUAUGAGAUGCAAAGAAAUGAUAAUUUGAACAAAUUAAAUGAGUUUGUAACAUAAAAUCAUUUACUAUAUGAUUAUCAGGAGCUCUACCUUAUAUCUGUGCUCCCCAAUCUGGGUUUCCAAAUCACACCUUUAGUUUUCUGUUCUGUUCAACAUAAAAAUGUGAUCUCUAGGUACCACCUUAAGAACAGACAUGUUGCAAAUCAGAUAAUUACAUAUAUUUAAAAUAAUAAAAGACCGGUUUGUGAUGGCAAAAGCUGAUGGGAUAUGCUGAAUAGGCAGAGACUGAAGAAUCAUGUAUUCAGACCAACUUGAGCUACACCUUUGGAAAUGGAGUGAUGACUCAGUGGUUAAAGAUGUACAGUGAUGCUCUUCCAGAGAACAUGGGUUUGAUUCCCAGGACUCAGAUGAGGUGACUCACAACCACCUGUAAUUCCAACUCCAGGGCACCCAUUGCCCUAUUCUGGUCUACAUGAGCACCUACACACGGGGCAUACUAUUCCAUAUACUUACAUAAAUAAAAAUAACACAAAUCUUUAGAAUAACAUAAAAUAGAGGGGGGAAUCUGAGGAGAUUGGAAUGUUUGUCUAGUAUCUGUGGCCCCAAGUCAAGAAUAUGUUUCUAACAUUUGAACAGAGCCUCAACUUCAGAGGGUUGUAUCAGACAAGUGCAGCCUUUUCCAUGCUGACUACAUCAAUAAUGUAGUAUAAUGAGAGGGUGAAGAUCUAGCUUCUUGGGUCCAAUCUGGGGAUACUUUGACAAGUCACCCAUGAACCAUAGAUACCUUCUGGCUGGCUGAAAUACCGACCCUGUUUCUUCAUCUCCUUUCAACAGCUGUUGGUGAUUCAUAAAUACAUAAUGCCUUAUUGACCUGUCAAAUAUUAUACAAAUAAAUCUCAGUCCCUUAUUGAAGAGCAGUCAGGCUGCAGUCAAUAUAUAUAACGACAAACAAACCCAAUUCUAAAAUGGAAUUUUAAAGCUGAAUCAUUCUUACCACUGUAAUAGAAGAGUUGUACACAGACAUUUGUCCUAAGUAGAUAUCCAGUUUGGAAAACAAAAUAGUCACAUUAGAAGGAACUACAUCCCCAUAUGCUACAGCAUAGAAUGUGCAAGUGAUGUUGGCACAAUUAUGCUUAUCAUAUCUACUUGCAUAUACUGCUCAAUCAAAUUUUUAUGCUGCCAUUUGAUUAUGCUAAAAUUCAGCUACUCUACUUCCAUCUAACAAUGCACUGACAGGCACAACAUCAUUGUGUCUGCUGUAUGGAUGAGACCCUGAAGAUGGACUGAUAACUCCCCAGACUGGUUCUGUUACAGAGUCCUUCACUUCCAAACUAGAAUCCCACUCCAAACUAGAAGUCUCUAUGUUACUGUGGUGUGUUUAAUGAGUAUGAGUUGACAGGCUCAUGUGUUUGAGUGCCUGGUCCCCCUUUGGUGGAACUGUUCAAGAAAUAUUAAAAGGUGAAGCCUUGUUGGAGGAGGUUGUGACUCAAGGGUGGGAUUUAAGGUUUCAAAAGCCCACACCAUUCCCAGUCUCUUUUUGCCUCCAACUUUCAGGUAAAGUGUGAGCUCUCAGCUAUUGAUCCAUGGAUUCAUCUCAAAAAAUAUAAAUUAAGCCCACAAUUAAACACCUUAUUUUAACGUU
Cricetulus griseus (Chinese hamster) is the source of this 3889-nucleotide non-coding RNA. The record is from RefSeq and is a predicted model, not a curated record. Lineage: Eukaryota; Metazoa; Chordata; Mammalia; Rodentia; Cricetidae.